This 254-nucleotide ribosomal RNA is filed under the name uncultured bacterium. RNAcentral describes it as "partial 16S ribosomal RNA". It matches the Rfam family "Bacterial small subunit ribosomal RNA", at positions 524 to 776 of the family's 1533-position model. The record is from RNAcentral.
UACGUAGGGGGCUAGCGUUGUCCGGAUUUAUUGGGCGUAAAGAGCGUGUAGGCGGCCAGGUAGGUCUGCUGUGAAAACUCGAGGCUCAACCAUCGAGACGUCGGCGGAAACCAUCUGGUCUAGAGUCCGGAAGAGGAGAGUGGAAGUUCCUGGUGUAGCGUGAAAUGCGCAGAUAUCAGGAAGAACACCCGUGGCGAAGGCGGCUCUCUGGGACGGUACUGACGCUGAGACGCGAAACGUGGGGAGCGAACAGG